This 254-nucleotide long non-coding RNA is filed under the name Sorghum bicolor (sorghum). RNAcentral describes it as "long non-coding RNA (SBIC_LNC004087)". Lineage: Eukaryota; Viridiplantae; Streptophyta; Magnoliopsida; Poales; Poaceae. The record is from RNAcentral.
CAAAAUUUUUGGGGAACUAAACAAGGCCUUAAAAGCCUACCGUGUUUCUUUUGGUGAUAUGUAGCUUUAAUUUCUAGAGGUAUCUUAAGUUAAAUUUUUAAAUUUUGAUAAAAUUUUUAAAAAAGUACUAAGAUUUAUAGUAUCAAAUUAGUACCAUUUGAUUUAUUAUAGAAUAUAUUUUUAUAAGAUACUUAUUUUAUGUUAUAGAUAUUCCUGUUGACUGACACAAAUUUUAUGAAUUGAAACUUUUAGGG